CGUAGGAGGCAAGCGUUAUCCGGAGUUACUGGGCGUAAAGCGCAUGUAGGCGGUUGGGCAAGUGGCGUGUGAAAGCUCCCGGCUAAACUGGGAGACGACAGGUCAGACUGCCGAACUGGAGUCCGGUAGAGGAGCGUAGAAUUCCGGGUGUAGCGGUGAAAUGUGUAGAGAUCCGGAGGAAUACCAGUGGCGCAAGCGGCGCUCUGGGUCGGGACUGACGCUGAGAUGCGAAAGCGUGGGGAGCGAACGGGAUUAGAGACCCCGGUAGUCCACGCCGUAAACGAUGCGAACUGGGUGUUCACUUUCCGACAGGAGAGGGAGUGCCGAAGCUAACGCGCUAAGUUCGCCGCCUGGGGAGUACGGUCGCAAGACUA
RNAcentral lists this ribosomal RNA (374 nucleotides) under uncultured organism. RNAcentral describes it as "bacterial SSU rRNA". It matches the Rfam family "Bacterial small subunit ribosomal RNA", at positions 526 to 896 of the family's 1533-position model. The record is from RNAcentral.